UUGCUUGAAUCCGCCCCAGUGCUUGUUACAGUGCGGCACAGCAGUCCAUCUUUGCAGUAGGAAAGUGAGAACUGGUUUAAUGAUGCUGCCCAGCCUAGCACACGUACAAGAUCACUUGGACCCACCAACUGGAAGACAGAAGGAACACGGAAGAUGGGAAGGAAGCAGCUCCAACUUGGCCCCUUUUAAGUCUGAGUCACGCCAUGGGGAAUACCAGCAGCUAGCUUAGCUUCCAAAGAUUCUGCUUUAUGACGCUGGGGAUAAAUAUCUGCAAAUUGCUCAUCAAUGAGUUGAAGCUUCUCAGCUAUGAAAAAAGAUUAUAUCGUCACACAAAUAUCUUCCAGAUACACCCCUUCCUCUCCACGCAAACAACCACCAUUCUGUACAAGCUCUGGGAAGAAAACAGAAAGUGAAUAUUCAUAGCCACAUCGGCGGAGAUGAUCUGCCACCAAGCUAUUUGAGGCUCCAAUUAGC
Molecule: long non-coding RNA, 474 nt
Organism: Tachyglossus aculeatus (Australian echidna)
Lineage: Eukaryota; Metazoa; Chordata; Mammalia; Monotremata; Tachyglossidae
Exons: 4
Source: RefSeq, a predicted model, not a curated record